This 406-nucleotide ribosomal RNA is filed under the name uncultured bacterium. RNAcentral describes it as "partial 16S ribosomal RNA". It matches the Rfam family "Bacterial small subunit ribosomal RNA", at positions 29 to 526 of the family's 1533-position model. The record is from RNAcentral.
AUUGAACGCUGGCGGCAGGCCUAACACAUGCAAGUCGAACGAGUGGCGGACGGGUGAGUAAUGUCUGGGAAACUGCCCGAUGGAGGGGGAUAACUACUGGAAACGGUAGCUAAUACCGCAUACCAUCGGAUGUGCCCAGAUGGGAUUAGCUAGUAGGUGGGGUAAUGGCUCACCUAGGAGACGAUCCCUAGCUGGUCUGAGAGGAUGACCAGCCACACUGGAACGGAGGCACGGUCGAGACUCCUGCGGGAGGCAGCAGUGGGGAAGAUUGCACAGUGGGCGCGAGCCAGAUGCAGCCAGGCCGCGUGUAUGAAGAAGGCCUUCGGGUUGUAAAGUACUUUCAGCGAGGAGGCGUUACUCGCAGAAGAAGCACCGGCUAACUCCGUGCCAGCAGCCGCGGUAAUUC